Molecule: ribosomal RNA, 1527 nt
Filed under: Triticum aestivum (bread wheat)
Lineage: Eukaryota; Viridiplantae; Streptophyta; Magnoliopsida; Poales; Poaceae
Description: partial small subunit ribosomal RNA
Source: RNAcentral
AUGAUUUUUCGUUCGCCGGAACCAGAAGUAAAAAUUGUUGUGGAUAGGGAUCCUGUAAAAACAUCUUUGGAGGAAUGGGCCAGACCCGGCCAUUUCUCAAGAACACUAGCUAAGGGCCCUGAUACUACCACUUGGAUCUGGAACCUACAUGCUGAUGCUCACGAUUUCGAUAGUCAUACUGGUGAUUUGGAGGAGAUUUCUCGAAAAGUCUUUAGUGCUCAUUUCAGGGAACUUUCCAUUAUCUUUCUUUGGUUGAGUGGCAUGUACUUUCAUGGCGCCCGUUUUUCCAAUUAUGAAGCAUGUCUAAGUGAUCCUACUCACAUUGGACCCAGUGCUCAGGUAGUUUGGCAUAUAGUAGGGCAAGAAAUAUUGAAUGGUGAUGUAGGCGGGGGUUUCCGAGGGAUCCAAAUAACCUCUGGUUUUUGUCAGCUUUGGCGAGCAUCUGGAAUAACUAGUGAAUUACAACUCUAUUGUACUGCAAUUGGUGCAUUGAUUUUUGCAGCGUUAAUGCUUUUUGCUGGUUGGUUCCAUUAUCACAAAGCCGCUCCCAAAUUGGCCUGGUUCCAAGAUGUAGAAUCCAUGUUGAAUCACCACUUAGCGGGAUUAUUAGGACUUGGGUCUCUUUCUUGGGCGGGGCACCAAAUUCAUGUAUCUUUACCAAUUAACCAAUUUCUUGACGCUGGGGUGGAUCCUAAAGAGAUACCACUUCCUCAUGAAUUUAUCUUGAAUCGGGACCUUUUGGCUCAACUUUAUCCUAGUUUUGCCGAAGGAGCAACCCCUUUUUUCACUUUAAAUUGGUCCAAAUACGCAGAAUUUCUGAGUUUUCACGGAGGACUAGAUCUAGUAACCGGUGGUCUCUGGCUGACCGAUAUUGCGCACCAUCAUUUAGCUAUUGCUAUUCUUUUCCUAAUCGCAGGUCAUAUGUAUAGGACCAAUUGGGGUAUUGGCCAUGGACUUAAAGAUAUUUUGGAGGCUCACAAGGGCCCAUUUACAGGACAAGGCCAUAAUGGUCUUUAUGAAAUCUUAACAACGUCAUGGCAUGCUCAAUUAUCUCUUAACCUAGUUAUGCUAGGCUCUACAACCAUUUUUGUAGCUCAUCAUAUGUAUUCUAUGCCUCCCUAUCCAUACCUAGCUAGUGACUAUGGUACACAACUUUCCUUGUUCACACACCACAUGUGGAUUGGCGGAUUUCUAAUAGUCGGUGCUGUUGCACAUGCAGCAAUUUUUAUGGUAAGAGACUAUGAUCCAACUACUUGAUACAACGAUCUAUUAGAUCGUGUCCUUAGACACCGCGAUGCAAUCAUAUCCCACCUUAACUGGGUAUGUAUAUUUCUAGGUUUUCACAGUUUUGGCUUGUACAUUUAAAAUGAUACCAUGAGUGCUUUAGGCCGUCCACAAGAUAUGUUUUCGGAUACUGCCAUACAAUUACAACCUAUCUUUGUUCAAUGGGUACAAAAUAUCCAUGCUACUGCGCCUGGCGUAACAGCUCCUGGUGCAACAAUAAGUACUAGCUUAACGUGGGGUGGC